GGUCCGUUGGUCAAGCGGUUAAGACGCCGCCCUCUCACGGCGGAAACACGGGUUCGAUUCCCGUACGGACUG
Molecule: transfer RNA, 72 nt
Filed under: Eubacterium sp.
Lineage: Bacteria; Bacillati; Bacillota; Clostridia; Eubacteriales; Eubacteriaceae
Description: tRNA-Glu
Rfam family: tRNA
About the family: Transfer RNA (tRNA) molecules are approximately 80 nucleotides in length. Their secondary structure includes four short double-helical elements and three loops (D, anti-codon, and T loops). Further hydrogen bonds mediate the characteristic L-shaped molecular structure. tRNAs have two regions of fundamental functional importance: the anti-codon, which is responsible for specific mRNA codon recognition, and the 3' end, to which the tRNAs corresponding amino acid is attached (by aminoacyl-tRNA synthetases). tRNAs cope with the degeneracy of the genetic code in two manners: having more than one tRNA (with a specific anti-codon) for a particular amino acid; and 'wobble' base-pairing, i.e. permitting non-standard base-pairing at the 3rd anti-codon position.
Source: RNAcentral